RNAcentral lists this ribosomal RNA (497 nucleotides) under uncultured bacterium. Its description in RNAcentral is "partial 16S ribosomal RNA". It matches the Rfam family "Bacterial small subunit ribosomal RNA", at positions 28 to 507 of the family's 1533-position model. The record is from RNAcentral.
GACGAACGCUGGCGGCGUGCCUAAUACAUGCAAGUUGAGCGCUGAAGGUUGGUACUUGUACCAACUGGAUGAGCAGCGAACGGGUGAGUAACGCGUGGGGAAUCUGCCUUUGAGCGGGGGACAACAUUUGGAAACGAAUGCUAAUACCGCAUAAAGACUUUAAACACAAGUUUUAAGUUUGAAAGAUGCAAUUGCAUCACUCAAAGAUGAUCCCGCGUUGUAUUAGCUAGUUGGUGAGGUAAAGGCUCACCAAGGCGAUGAUACAUAGCCGACCUGAUAGGGUGAUCGGCCACAUUGGGACUGAGACACGGCCCAAACUCCUACGGGAGGCAGCAGUAGGGAAUCUUCGGCAAUGGACGAAAGUCUGACCGAGCAACGCCGCGUGAGUGAAGAAGGUUUUCGGAUCGUAAAACUCUGUUGGUAGAGAAGAACGUUGGUGAGAGUGGAAAGCUCAUCAAGUGACGGUAACUACCCAGAAAGGGACGGCUAACUACGUG